CGACGAUAAAGUAGUAGCUUACGAAAACAUGUCAAGCUUCAAUUUCAAAGUUCAAAAGGAAAACCGAAACGACUUGUCUCACCAGACUGCCGCAGCUCAAGCAGCAGUUUUCAAAGCAUACAUGGCACUUUGUAAGAGCGAAACGCAACCCGACCGUGGCCGACUUGAACAAGGAUACUUGAGUACUUGGUAGAAGAGGGCAAGAAUCAAGUCUGAGUUCAAAAUAAACUUUUAUAAAUUUUA
Aedes albopictus (Asian tiger mosquito) is the source of this 243-nucleotide long non-coding RNA. RefSeq lists it as uncharacterized. The record is from RefSeq and is a predicted model, not a curated record. Lineage: Eukaryota; Metazoa; Arthropoda; Insecta; Diptera; Culicidae. The transcript is spliced from 2 exons.